AUGUGAAAGGCAAACCAGCCGCGAGACUGGGACGCAAAACUACAGGGUCUCUGACCGUUGUAUUCUGACGAAUUGCGAUAGAUCGGUUAUACAGGGGAGAGAGACAGCCAGCUGCCA
RNAcentral lists this non-coding RNA (117 nucleotides) under Eubacterium pyruvativorans. Its description in RNAcentral is "Cyclic di-GMP-I riboswitch". It matches the Rfam family "c-di-GMP-I riboswitch aptamer". Rfam says of the family: GEMM was predicted in a large-scale screen for bacterial structured RNA regulatory elements. Genes associated with GEMM are involved in a diverse array of functions, including chemotaxis regulation, signal transduction, secretion and chitin. The record is from RNAcentral. Lineage: Bacteria; Bacillati; Bacillota; Clostridia; Eubacteriales; Eubacteriaceae.